CAUACCUAUUCGAAGGGAUAGGGUCGGUUUGGCCGGAUUUCACACAGGUGUUGCAUGGCUGUCGUCAGCUCGUGUCGUGAGGUGUUGGGUUAAGUCCCGCAACGAGCGCAACCCUCAUCCUUAGUUACCAUCAGGUUAUGCUGGGGACUUUAAGGAAACUGCCAGUGAUAAACUGGAGGAAGGUGGGGAUGAUGUCAAGUCAUCAUGGCCCUUAUGGAGUGGGCUACACACGUGCUACAAUGGUGAUUACAAUGGGCUGCAAGGUCGCAAGGCUGAGCUAAUCCUAAAAAAUCAUCUCAGUUCGGAUUGUUCUCUGCAACUCGAGAGCAUGAAGUUGGAAUCGCUAGUAAUCGUGGAUCAGCAUGCCACGGUGAAUACGUUCUCGGGUCUUGUACGCACUGCCCGUCACGCCAUGGGAAUUGGUUUCACUCGAAGCU
Molecule: ribosomal RNA, 437 nt
Filed under: Wolbachia endosymbiont of Aphis gossypii
Lineage: Bacteria; Pseudomonadati; Pseudomonadota; Alphaproteobacteria; Rickettsiales; Anaplasmataceae
Also listed under: 1 other name
Description: bacterial SSU rRNA
Rfam family: Bacterial small subunit ribosomal RNA
Source: RNAcentral